CAGUCGCCACGGUAACACCAGCAGCCCAAGUGGUGGUCGCGAUUAUUGGGCCUAAAGCGCUCGUAGCCGGGCCGGUAAGUCCCUUGUGAAAUCGGACGGCCUAACCGUUCGGCGUGCAAGGGAUACUGUCGGUCUUGAGGCCGGGAGACGUCCGAGGUACUCCGGGGGUAGCGGUGAAAUGUUCUGAUCCUCGGGGGACCACCGGUGGCGAAGGCGUUCGACGAGAACGGGCCUGACGGUGAGGGGCGAAGGCUAGGGGAGCAAACGGGAUUAGAUACCCGCGUAGUCCCUGUCUCUUAUA
This 301-nucleotide ribosomal RNA is filed under the name uncultured bacterium. Its description in RNAcentral is "partial 16S ribosomal RNA". It matches the Rfam family "Archaeal small subunit ribosomal RNA", at positions 459 to 759 of the family's 1478-position model. The record is from RNAcentral.